Molecule: ribosomal RNA, 198 nt
Filed under: uncultured bacterium
Lineage: Bacteria
Description: partial 16S ribosomal RNA
Rfam family: Bacterial small subunit ribosomal RNA
Source: RNAcentral
ACGCUCGACACCUACUGGAGGCAGCAGUGGGGAAUAUUGCACAAUGGGGGAAACCCUGAUGCAGCGACGCCGCGUGAAGGAAGAAGUAUCUCGGUAUGUAAACUUCUAUCAGCAGGGAAGAAAAUGACGGUACCUGACUAAGAAGCCCCGGCUAACUACGUACCAGCAGCCGCGGUAAUCUGAGCGGGCUGGCAAGGC